AUGCACCGCAGCUCUCUCGUCCUCACUGCCUUCCUGGGACAACUGCUGGAUGCCAUGGGGCAGACCAUUGUCAGCCAGCAAGAAGGACAGGUCACAGUGGAGGAGAAAAACACCUUCCAGACCACCUGCACUUACCAGACAUCUUACUUGAAUGGCUUGUUUUGGUACCAGCAGAAGAAAGGCCAAGUCCCCCAGCUGGUCACAUACCAGGCAGCAGCAGGCUCCAAGCACAACGGCCGUUUCACCACGGGGCUGAACACCACCGGGAAAAACAGCCUCCUGCAGCUGGCAAAAGUCCAGCUGUCUGACAGCGCCUUGUACCUCUGUGCUGUGCAGGACACCCUGGUGCAGGGAGCUUCCUUGGCCGUGCAACAGCCCCAGUGAGGGAGGGGCUGUGUCUGUUGGAGGCGGAGCUCUGGGGAAGGGGCCCUCAGCUCUCCCCUGGCAGCGCUGCUUCCCCUGUGCGCACAGAGAUCUGCAGGUCAGCAUCCUCUUCCAGAAGAGACCGAUGUCUGUGGCUUGGGAGGAAUGAAAAGUGAUGAAAGGGACCCUGACCGGGAACUCCUCUCCAUGUGCACUCCUGGACAACCCAGUUUUUGCAUGGGCUGUGCAGAGAACACAUGCUGCACUGUGAUUUGUGUGCUCUGCUGUGCACUGAGGGCUUUAAGCAGGUGGUCUGAAACUCACCUGAUUGCAUGCAUGUCCGGAUAGCUUCACUGUUCUGUUUCUCCCCCUGUACUUAGCAUUAGUGAGGCUGCAUCUUGAGUAUUGUGUUCAGUUCUGGGGCCCAGGGAAGGGCAACAAAACUG
Molecule: non-coding RNA, 809 nt
Organism: Phasianus colchicus (ring-necked pheasant)
Lineage: Eukaryota; Metazoa; Chordata; Aves; Galliformes; Phasianidae
Source: the annotation of a RefSeq genome assembly